Oncorhynchus keta (chum salmon) is the source of this 1578-nucleotide long non-coding RNA. RefSeq lists it as uncharacterized. NCBI's taxonomy places the organism in Eukaryota, Metazoa, Chordata, Actinopteri, Salmoniformes, Salmonidae. The record is from RefSeq and is a predicted model, not a curated record. The transcript has 8 exons.
UAGAGUAAAGGACAGAGAGAGAGGUGUAGAGUAGAGGACAGAGAGAGAGGUGUAGAGUAAAGAGAGAGGUGUAGAGUAGAGGACAGAGAGAGAGGUGUAGAGUAGAGGACAGAGAGAGAGGUGUAGAGUAAAGAGAGAGGUGUAGAGUAGAGUAUAGAGAGAGAGGUGUAGAGUAAAGAGAGAAGUGUAGAGUUGACGACAGAGAGAGAGGUGUAGAGUAGAGGACAGAGAGAGAGGUGAAGAGUAAAGAGAGAGGUGUUGAGUAAAGGACAGAGAGAGAGGUGUAGAGUAAAGAGACUGGUGUAGAGUAAAGGAAAGAGAGAGAGAGGUGUAGAGUAGAGGACAUAGAGAGAGGUGUAGAGUAGAGGACAGAGAGAGAGGUGUAGAGUAAAGAGAGAGGUGUAGAGUAGAGGACAGAGAGAGAGGUGUAGAGUAAAGAGAGAGGUGUAGAGUAAAGGACAGAGAGAGCGGUGUAGAGUAGAGGACAGAGAGAGAGGUGUAGAUUAAAGAGAGAGGUGUAGAGUAAAGGAAAGAGAGAGGUGUAGAGUAGAGGACAUAGAGAGAGGUGUAGAGUAGAGGACAGAGAGAGAGGUGAAGAGUAAAGAGAGAGGUGUAGAGUAGAGGACAGAGAGAGAGGUGUAGAGUAAAGAGAGAGGUGUAGAGUAGAGGACAGAGAGAGAGGUGUAGAGUAGAGGACAGAGAGAGGUGUAGAGUAAAGAGAGAGGUGUAGAGUAGAGUAUAGAGAGAGAGGUGUAGAGUAAAGAGCGAGGUGUAGAGUUGACGACAGAGAGAGAGGUGUAGAGGAGAGGACAGAGAGAGAGAGGUGUAGAGUAGAGGACAGAGAGAGAGGUGUGGAGUAGAGGACAGAGAGAGAGGUGUAGAGUAGAUGACAGAGAGAGAGGUGUAGAGUAAAGAGAGAGGUGUAGAGUAGAGGACAGAGAGAGAGGUGUAGAGUAGAGGACAGAGAGAGAGGUGUAGAGUAAAGAGAGAGGUGUAGAGUAAAGGAAAGAGAGAGAGAGGUGUAGAGUAGAGGACAUAGAGAGAGGUGUAGAGUAGAGGACAGAGAGAGAGGUGUAGAGUAAAGAGAGAGGUGUAGAGUAGAGGACAGAGAGAGAGGUGUAGAGUAAAGAGAGAGGUGUAGAGUAAAGGACAGAGAGAGAGGUGUAGAGUAGAGGACAGAGAGAGAGGUGUAGAGUAAAGAGAGAGGUGUAGAGUAGAGUAUAGAGAGAGAGGUGUAGAGUAAAGAGAGAGGUGUAGAGUUGACGACAGAGAGAGAGGUGUAGAGGAGAGGACAGAGAGAGAGAGGUGUAGAGUAGAGGACAGAGAGAGGUGUGGAGUAGAGGACAGAGAGAGAGGUGUAGAGUAGAUGACAGAGAGAGAGGUGUAGAGUAAAGAGAGAGGUGUAGAGUAGAGGACAGAGAGAGAGGUGUAGAGUAGAGGACAGAGAGAGAGGUGUAGAGUAAAGAGAGAGGUGUAGAGUAGAGUAUAGAGAGAGAGGUGUAGAGUAAAGAGCGAGGUGUAGAGUUGACGACAGAGAGAGAGGUGUAGAGGAGAGGACAGAGAGAGAGAGGUGUAGAG